UGGGGAAUAUUGCACAAUGGGCGCAAGCCUGAUGCAGCCAUGCCGCGUGUAUGAAGAAGGCCUUCGGGUUGUAAAGUACUUUCAGCGGGGAGGAAGGGAGUAAAGUUAAUACCUUUGCUCAUUGACGUUACCGACAGAAGAAGCACCGGCUAACUCCGUGCGAGCAGCCGCGGUAAUACGGAGGGUGCAAGCGUUAAUCGGAAUUACUGGGCGUAAAGCGCACGCAGGCGGUUGAUUGAGUCAGAUGUGAAAUCCCCGGGCUUAACCCGGGAAUUGCAUCUGAUACUGGUCAGCUAGAGUCUUGUAGAGGGGGGUAGAAUUCCAUGUGUAGCGGUGAAAUGCGUAGAGAUGUGGAGGAAUACCGGUGGCGAAGGCGGCCCCCUGGACAAAGACUGACGCUCAGGUGCGAAAGCGUGGGGAGCAAACAGG
This 429-nucleotide ribosomal RNA is filed under the name Chloroflexota bacterium. RNAcentral describes it as "Chloroflexi bacterium partial 16S ribosomal RNA". It matches the Rfam family "Bacterial small subunit ribosomal RNA", at positions 355 to 776 of the family's 1533-position model. The record is from RNAcentral. Lineage: Bacteria; Bacillati; Chloroflexota.